UAUUUUAAAAAAGAAAAAAGAAAACAGAGGGUCUUUACCCUCUCUCCCUCUCUCUGCUCAUUUCGGCUAGGGUUCUUAGAACCUUCAUCGUCGCCUUCACCGCAGCGCCACCACAGGCGGUGGUUGGGGUGUAAACCGGGCUUUCAAGCCCCUGUUUAAGGCGAACUCAAUAGCGAAAACUUCCUCGACCAAAGAAGAUCCAAAGAAGGAACCCCCUACGACCUCUUCGGGUCGAAUCCGACGACGGAGGAGCGAUCUCCGACAACGGUCACUUCGAUUCGGGUCAUGGGAGUGUCAGACGCGUGGAAGGCCGGUGAUUGGCGCCCCGAGCGGUGGUGGCACGCGUAAGAAGGCUGGUGGCUGAAGGCAUGCGGCUGAAAACUUUGGUGGCUGCUGAAAAUUUUUUUUAACAUAGUGGGCUUGGGCUAUUAGGGUUUAUAAAUUGGGUUUGGGUAUUGUAUUUGGGCUAUUGGACUCUUAUAUUUGGUUACUUGGGUUUUUUUAUAUCGGGCCCGGGUAAAAUUUGGGCCUUACAGAAUCAUUAUACGAAUAUAGAAAAAAAAGUUUCAAAAA
Gossypium arboreum is the source of this 573-nucleotide long non-coding RNA. RefSeq lists it as uncharacterized. The record is from RefSeq and is a predicted model, not a curated record. The transcript has 2 exons. NCBI's taxonomy places the organism in Eukaryota, Viridiplantae, Streptophyta, Magnoliopsida, Malvales, Malvaceae.